GUGCACGCUGGCGGUAGGCCUCACACCUGCCAGUCGAACGGCAGCACCGUAAGAGCUUGCUCUUACGGGUGGCGAGUGGCGGACGGGUGAGGAAUACAUCGGAAUCUACUUUUUCGUGGGGGAUAACGUAGGGAAACUUACGCUAAUACCGCAUACGACCUACGGGUGAAAGCAGGGGAUCUUCGGACCUUGCGCGAUUGAAUGAGCCGAUGUCGGAUUAGCUAGUUGGCGGGGUAAAGGCCCACCAAGGCGACGAUCCGUAGCUGGUCUGAGAGGAUGAUCAGCCACACUGGAACUGAGACACGGUCCAGACUCCUACGGGAGGCAGCAGUGGGGAAUAUUGGACAAUGGGCGCAAGCCUGAUCCAGCCAUACCGCGUGGGUGAAGAAGGCCUUCGGGUUGUAAAGCCCUUUUGUUGGGAAAGAAAAGCAGCAGGUUAAUACCCCGCUGUUCUGACGGUACCCAAAGAAUAAGCACCGGCUAACUUCGUG
Molecule: ribosomal RNA, 491 nt
Filed under: uncultured bacterium
Lineage: Bacteria
Description: partial 16S ribosomal RNA
Rfam family: Bacterial small subunit ribosomal RNA
Source: RNAcentral